RNAcentral lists this long non-coding RNA (1727 nucleotides) under Triticum aestivum (bread wheat). RNAcentral describes it as "long non-coding RNA (TAES_LNC007830)". The record is from RNAcentral. Lineage: Eukaryota; Viridiplantae; Streptophyta; Magnoliopsida; Poales; Poaceae.
GUAGACAAGGUAAAAUCAUAUCAAGGUCAUUCAGAUAGCUCCAUUAAAACAUAUGUUUUGCAAUAUUGUCAAGUAACAUAAGGUGGGACAAUAGUGCGUAACAAAUACAUGAAACAACAAUAACAAUCCAAUAAAAAAACAGUCCAAAUUAUGAAACUCAAACUAAAAGAAGGUACCCAACUGAUUAUUGUACAAAUGCAUUCAUUAUUUCUGAUAGUGGGUAACCUUGUUUCAGAUCUCUUCACAAGUUAAUUAGUGAAUACUUCUAAACAUAGAUUUACUGUGUUAGAAAAGGUGGCUCAUUUUCAAGUAAAGGAAAUUUAAUUCAUCAAAAAUCAUUGAUAAUAUAAGUUGCAAUAUAAGACAAAAUUUUAAUUCAAGACAUGUAUAUACCGAAUUAUUGUCAUUUUAUUUUUAAGGGCUUUGAGUGAAAGGUUGCAGAUUAGACUUUUCAAGUACAUUGUCACCUGCAAGCCGAGCACAAGAAAAAUAAAAAAUAUUUCAAUUAAGUGAUGUUAGUAGGUUUACCAAAUUAUAGAUCUAAGAAGUUUGCAAUGACUAAUAAUUGAAUGUGAGAACGAAAAAUAAUCCUAUGGCAUCCAUACUACUUAUCACUACUACUAAUUCAUGUAAAGAUCAUGAAUUGUUGACGAAACCACAAAGAGGCAGCCAACCAUACUAUUUAUCAGUAAUACUAAUUGUUGUAAACAUCAAGAAUUGUUAUCCCGGUAAUCUUCUGUCGUAAGCUUAUUAGCUGGACAAUUAUAAUGAGCAAUUGUCGGGUACCAAGGACCAAGGACGUGAAUAUUUGGAAAUAGACAUAUUGGUGAAAGAAGAGUGGCACUGAAUAUGCAAGAGGCUGUGGCCAUUGACUCUAAGGGACAAGUGCAUAAGUCCAAUCGCUCAAGUUUUUGAGAAAAGAUCAGCUAGAUGAAGAGGAGGUUGCUCUAUGUACAAAAUCCUCUAGAGCAUCUGCCCAUCUCCUCUGAUCCUCUCUCAGGUGGUGACUCGGGCAGUAUGGCCGCGCGCCUACCAGUCUCCAAAUAUGCUCAAAUCAAUUGACCAUCGCCAACAACAUUACCUAUAUGUACAAAUUGGAUUGGAAGUAUGUCAGGACAAAGAAAUUGUUUUGUGGAAAAAGGAAUCGUACAUGAAAAUGAAAUAAAUAUAGGGGGACCUGGUGUAUUGUUGUUCCCAUACAAAUGUCCUCUUGUACAGUGCCCUCCAUCACCUCCAGCCUGAAUUAUGCAGUUGCUGGAGCACCAUCGAGAAGAACAGGUUGCCCUACAAGAGUACCCUGUACAAGAAGAAGAGAGGAGGAUUAAAUUAGAAUAGGCGUUGAUCCACCGUCGCCGGCUAGGAGCAGGAUGAGACGUCAUCCGCUCUACCGCCACCGUUGCCGCCAGAGCUAUGGAUGUAGAUAUGUGUUCCAAAGGCCAGCGGCCCAUGCCGCACCCUCGCCCCGCCCAGCACCACCCCACGCGGGUUCCAUCGCCGCAACCUCAGCGGAGGCGUUGCCGGCUCGUUGCCGCUGCCGCCUUCAGGACCUGAGAGAGAAGGGGAGGGAAGAUGAGCAAACUGACCAGGCAGCCGCUCGAGCGUCGGAUCCCCUCAUACGCCUCGCCUUGGCUGGAUCCCCUGGACCGCCGGUUGCCUCGCACGCGUCUCGUUGGCUCCCUUGAGCGCUAGAUCCCUCUUGCGCGGCUGGCAUCCGCUGGAUCCGGUCG